AUUGAACGCUGGCGGCAUGCUUUACACAUGCAAGUCGAACGGUAACAGGCUUUCGGCUGCUUCCGACUGGCGGAGGGUGGCGUACUGCAUCGGAACGUGCCCGGAGGUGGGGUUUCACGCAGCUAAAGCUGUGCUACUUCCGCUAAUGCUGUAUGGGUGCUACCGGUGGACGCAGCGGCACUGUUUAGCCUCCGCCCUCUGAUGCGGCGGAUUGUGGGUUACUUUUUUGGUGGGGUAAAGGCCAACCAAGCCGCCGAUCUGUAGCUGGUCUGAGAGGAAGACCAGCCCAACUGGGACUGAGACACCGCUCAGACUCCUAAGGGAGGCAGCAGGUGGGAAUUUUGGACAAUGGGCGCAAGCCUGAUCCAGCAAAGCCGCGGGCGGGAAGAAGGCCUUCGGGGUGUAAACCGCUUUUGCACGGAACGAAAAGGCGCUGGCUAAUACCUGGGGCUGAUGACGGUACCGAAAGAAUAAGCACCGGCUAACUACGUG
RNAcentral lists this ribosomal RNA (492 nucleotides) under uncultured bacterium. RNAcentral describes it as "partial 16S ribosomal RNA". It matches the Rfam family "Bacterial small subunit ribosomal RNA", at positions 30 to 507 of the family's 1533-position model. The record is from RNAcentral.